UACGGAGGGAGCUAGCGUUGUUCGGAAUUACUGGGCGUAAAGCGCACGUAGGCGGCUUUCUAAGUCAGGGGUGAAAUCCUGGAGCUCAACUCCAGAACUGCCUUUGAUACUGGAGAGCUUGAGUCCGGGAGAGGUGAGUGGAACUCCGAGUGUAGAGGUGAAAUUCGUAGAUAUUCGGAAGAACACCAGUGGCGAAGGCGGCUCACUGGCCCGGUACUGACGCUGAUGUGCGAAAGCGUGGGGAGCAAACAGG
RNAcentral lists this ribosomal RNA (253 nucleotides) under uncultured bacterium. RNAcentral describes it as "partial 16S ribosomal RNA". It matches the Rfam family "Bacterial small subunit ribosomal RNA", at positions 524 to 776 of the family's 1533-position model. The record is from RNAcentral.